GACGAACGCUGGCGGCGUGCUUAGCACAUGCAAGUCGAACGGAAAGGCCCUGCUUUUGUGGGGUGCUCGAGUGGCGAACGGGUGAGUAACACGUGAGUAACCUGCCCUUGACUUUGGGAUAACUUCAGGAAACUGGGGCUAAUACCGGAUAGGAGCUCCUGCUGCAUGGUGGGGGUUGGAAAGUUUCGGCGGUUGGGGAUGGACUCGCGGCUUAUCAGCUUGUUGGUGGGGUAGUGGCUUACCAAGGCUUUGACGGGUAGCCAGCCUGAGAGGGUGACCGGCCACAUGGGGACUGGGAAAGGGCCCAGACGCCUCCGGGGGGAAGGAGGGGGGAAUUUGGCAAAAGGGGCGGAAGCCUGAGGCAGCAACGCCGGGUGCGGGAGGACGGCCUUGGGGUGGUAAACCGUUUUCGCCUGUGACGAAGCGUGAGGGAGGGUAAUGGGAAAAGAAGCCCCGGUAAACUACGG
This 467-nucleotide ribosomal RNA is filed under the name uncultured bacterium. RNAcentral's name for it is "partial 16S ribosomal RNA". It matches the Rfam family "Bacterial small subunit ribosomal RNA", at positions 28 to 506 of the family's 1533-position model. The record is from RNAcentral.